GAUGAACGCUGGCGGCGUGCCUAAUACAUGCAAGUCGAGCGAACAGACGAGGAGCUUGCUCCUCUGACGUUAGCGGCGGACGGGUGAGUAACACGUGGAUAACCUACCUAUAAGACUGGGAUAACUUCGGGAAACCGGAGCUAAUCCCGGAUAAUAUAUUGAACCGCAUGGUUCAAUAGUGAAAGACGGUUUUGCUGUCACUUAUAGAUGGAUCCGCGCCGCAUUAGCUAGUUGGUAAGGUAACGGCUUACCAAGGCAACGAUGCGUAGCCGACGUGAGAGGGUGAUCGGCCACACGGGAACGGAAACACGGUCCAGGCUCCUACGGGAGGCAGCAGUAGGGAAUCUUCCGCAAUGGGCGAAAGCCUGACGGAGCAACGCCGCGUGAGUGAUGAAGGUCUUCGGAUCGGAAAACUCUGUUAUUAGGGAAGAACAAAUGUGUAAGUAACUAUGCACGUCUUGACGGUACCUAAUCAGAAAGCCACGGCUAACUACGUG
Molecule: ribosomal RNA, 497 nt
Filed under: uncultured bacterium
Lineage: Bacteria
Description: partial 16S ribosomal RNA
Rfam family: Bacterial small subunit ribosomal RNA
Source: RNAcentral